GAUGAACGCUAGCGGCAGGCUUAACACAUGCAAGUCGAGGGGCAGCACGUCUUCGGAUGGUGGCGACCGGCGCACGGGUGCGUAACGCGUAUACAAUCUACCUUUUACAGAGAGAUACCCCAGAGAAAUUUGGAAUAAUACCUCAUAAUAUUAUUGCUCGGCAUCGAGUGACAAUUAAAGUUUCGGCGGUAAAAGAUGAGUAUGCGUCCUAUUAGCUAGUUGGUAAGGUAACGGCUUACCAAGGCGACGAUAGGUAGGGGUCCUGAGAGGGAGAUCCCCCACACUGGUACUGAGACACGGACCAGACUCCUACGGGAGGCAGCAGUGAGGAAUAUUGGUCAAUGGGCGAAAGCCUGAACCAGCCAUGCCGCGUGCAGGAAGACUGCCCUAUGGGUUGUAAACUGCUUUUAUACAGGAAGAAACACUCGGACGUGUCCGAGCUUGACGGUACUGUAUGAAUAAGCACCGGCUAACUCCGUG
This 480-nucleotide ribosomal RNA is filed under the name uncultured bacterium. RNAcentral describes it as "bacterial SSU rRNA". It matches the Rfam family "Bacterial small subunit ribosomal RNA", at positions 28 to 507 of the family's 1533-position model. The record is from RNAcentral.